RNAcentral lists this ribosomal RNA (496 nucleotides) under uncultured bacterium. Its description in RNAcentral is "partial 16S ribosomal RNA". It matches the Rfam family "Bacterial small subunit ribosomal RNA", at positions 28 to 506 of the family's 1533-position model. The record is from RNAcentral.
GAUGAACGCUGGCGGCGUGCCUAAUACAUGCAAGUCGAGCGAACGGACGAGAAGCUUGCUUCUCUGAUGUUAGCGGCGGACGGGUGAGUAACACGUGGAUAACCUACCUAUAAGACUGGGAUAACUUCGGGAGACCGGAGCUAAUACCGGAUAAUAUUUUGAACCGCAUGGUUCAAAAGUGAAAGACGGUCUUGCUGUCACUUAUAGAUGGAUCCGCGCUGCAUUAGCUAGUUGGUAAGGUAACGGCUUACCAAGGCAACGAUGCAUAGCCGACCUGAGAGGGUGAUCGGCCACACUGGAACUGAGACCCGGUCCAGACUCCUACGGGAGGCAGCAGUAGGGAAUCUUCCGCAAUGGGCGAAAGCCUGACGGAGCAACGCCGCGUGAGUGAUGAAGGUCUUCGGAUCGUAAAACUCUGUUAUUAGGGAAGAACAUAUGUGUAAGUAACUGUGCACAUCUUGACGGUACCUAAUCAGAAAGCCACGGCUAACUACGU